RNAcentral lists this ribosomal RNA (510 nucleotides) under uncultured bacterium. Its description in RNAcentral is "bacterial SSU rRNA". It matches the Rfam family "Bacterial small subunit ribosomal RNA", at positions 18 to 518 of the family's 1533-position model. The record is from RNAcentral.
CCUGGCUUAGGAUGAACGCUAGCGACAGGCCUAACACAUGCAAGUCGAGGGGGCAGCACAAGGAGCAAUCUGAGGUGGCGACCGGCGCACGGUGAGUAACACGUAUGCAACCUGCCUGUAAGCGGGAAUAACCGUGAAAGACGGACUUAAUACCGCAUAAUACUAAAUUACUGCAUGGUAAUUUAUUUUAAACAUUUUAUGGCUUACAGAUGGGCAUGCGCAUGAUUAGCUAGUUGGAGAGGUAACGGCUCCCCAAGGGCAACGAUCAUUAGGGGUUCUGAGAGGAAGGUCCCCCCACACUGGUACUGAGACACGGACCAGACUCCUACGGGAGGCAGCAGUGAGGAAUAUUGGUCAAUGGACGAGGAGUCUGAACCAGCCAAGUCGCGUGCAGGAAGAAUGUUCCCUAUGGAUUGUAAACUGCUUUUGCAGGGGAAUAAAGUGCAUCACGUGUGAUGUUUUGUAUGUACUCUGCGAAUAAGGAUCGGCUAACUCCGUGCCAGCAGCCGC